Molecule: ribosomal RNA, 439 nt
Filed under: uncultured bacterium
Lineage: Bacteria
Description: partial 16S ribosomal RNA
Rfam family: Bacterial small subunit ribosomal RNA
Source: RNAcentral
CUACGGGCUGCUGCAGUGGGGAAUUUUGCGCAAUGGGGGAAACCCUGACGCAGCGAUACCGCGUGAGUGAAGAAGGCCUUUGGGUCGUAAAGCUCUUUUCUAAGGGAAGAUAGUGACGGUACCUUAGGAAUAAGCGCCGGCUAACUCCGUGCCAGCAGCCGCGGUAAUACGGAGGGCGCGAGCGUUGUUCGGAUUUACUGGGCGUAAAGGGCGCGUAGGCGGCCUGGCAAGUUAAGGGUGAAAUCCCGGGGCUUAACCCCGGAACUGCUCUUAAAACUGCCAAGCUAGAGAUGGUCAGAGGCGGGUGGAAUUCCAGGUGUAGAGGUGAAAUUCGUAGAUAUCUGGAGGAACACCGGUGGCGAAGUCGGCCCGCUGGGGCCAUUCUGACGCUGAGGCGCGAAAGCGUGGGGAGCGAACGGGAUUAGAUACCCCGGUAGUC